This 385-nucleotide unclassified non-coding RNA is filed under the name Hevea brasiliensis (rubber tree). The record is from RNAcentral. Lineage: Eukaryota; Viridiplantae; Streptophyta; Magnoliopsida; Malpighiales; Euphorbiaceae.
GUUCCCAAAUUGGUUUAGGGCAUAUUCAGCCAGAGUAUUAGGAGGGACACCCCAACCUUGGCAAGCUAGGAUUCCACCACAAUCCCCUGUUUGGCAAUGACCCUUGCCACUGCCAUCAAAGUUGCAGUUUGUCCGUCCCCAGAUACGAGCCAUGGACGUGCCAGCAGGCACAUUAAGUUCCCAUGUCUGGCCCUGGUCUAGGCGGCGGCCACCACCAGGAGAGGCUGCAGCCCAAACAGUGUAAGGGCAGUUAUUGCGGAUGGUGAAGGUAGCUCCAUCAGAGGAAGUGAAGAAAAGGGCAGAGAGCAGAAAGAUAGAAAUGAGAAAAAUGUUGAAGUUACUCAUGGUUGAUGGAUGGUGGUGGAGUGGUGCGAGGUGUUAGCGG